RNAcentral lists this unclassified non-coding RNA (290 nucleotides) under Hevea brasiliensis (rubber tree). The record is from RNAcentral. Lineage: Eukaryota; Viridiplantae; Streptophyta; Magnoliopsida; Malpighiales; Euphorbiaceae.
GCAACCUAUUCUACAAAUUAAUCCCCACAUUAGUAAACAGGGACACAAAUCCAAGUCACAAAAUGAACAAUAAUGAUGCUAGACCUAAUGCAUGAUUUUUAAACCACAGUUAACUUACUACCUUUCUCAGUAAACAUAAAUUAUGCAAGUCAUUGGCCCCACAAAUUUGAGUAAUUUCCAAGUUUGCUAGAUAAAAUAAAUGUUGUCAAAAAGGCACAAUACUUUUUUUGGAUACGUAAGGCAUGAUACUUAUUGCACAGAAGGAAAAUAAAAUAUUCAAUACAGCAAGA